This 1158-nucleotide ribosomal RNA is filed under the name Salmonella enterica subsp. enterica serovar Omuna. RNAcentral describes it as "partial 23S ribosomal RNA". It matches the Rfam family "Bacterial large subunit ribosomal RNA", at positions 1 to 1189 of the family's 2925-position model. The record is from RNAcentral. Lineage: Bacteria; Pseudomonadati; Pseudomonadota; Gammaproteobacteria; Enterobacterales; Enterobacteriaceae.
GGGUUGUGAGGUUAAGCGACCAAGCGUACACGGUGGAUGCCCUGGCAGUCAGAGGCGAUGAAGGACGUGCUAAUCUGCGAUAAGCGCCGGUAAGGUGAUAUGAACCGUUAUAACCGGCGAUUUCCGAAUGGGGAAACCCAGUGUGACUCGUCACACUAUCAUUAACUGAAUCCAUAGGUUAAUGAGGCGAACCGGGGGAACUGAAACAUCUAAGUACCCCGAGGAAAAGAAAUCAACCGAGAUUCCCCCAGUAGCGGCGAGCGAACGGGGAGGAGCCCAGAGCCUGAAUCAGCAUGUGUGUUAGUGGAAGCGUCCGGAAAGGCGCGCGAUACAGGGUGACAGCCCCGUACACAAAAGCGCAUAUGCUGUGAGCUCGAUGAGUAGGGCGGGACACGUGGUAUCCUGUCUGAAUAUGGGGGGACCAUCCUCCAAGGCUAAAUACUCCUGACUGACCGAUAGUGAACCAGUACCGUGAGGGAAAGGCGAAAAGAACCCCGGCGAGGGGAGUGAAAAAGAACCUGAAACCGUGUACGUACAAGCAGUGGGAGCACAGGUUUACCUGUGUGACUGCGUACCUUUUGUAUAAUGGGUCAGCGACUUAUAUUCUGUAGCAAGGUUAACCGUAUAGGGGAGCCGGAGGGAAACCGAGUCUUAAUUGGGCGUUAAGUUGCAGGGUAUAGACCCGAAACCCGGUGAUCUAGCCAUGGGCAGGUUGAAGGUUGGGUAACACUAACUGGAGGACCGAACCGACUAAUGUUGAAAAAUUAGCGGAUGACCUGUGGCUGGGGGUGAAAGGCCAAUCAAACCGGGAGAUAGCUGGUUCUCCCCGAAAGCUAUUUAGGUAGCGCCUCGUGAAUUCAUCUCCGGGGGUAGAGCACUGUUUCGGCUAGGGGGCCAUCCCGGCUUACCAACCCGAUGCAAACUGCGAAUACCGGAGAAUGUUAUCACGGGAGACACACGGCGGGUGCUAACGUCCGUCGUGAAGAGGGAAACAACCCAGACCGCCAGCUAAGGUCCCAAAGUCAUGGUUAAGUGGGAAACGAUGUGGGAAGGCCCAGACAGCCAGGAUGUUGGCUUAGAAGCAGCCAUCAUUUAAAGAAAGCGUAAUAGCUCACUGGUCGAGUCGGCCUGCGCGGAAGAUGUAACGGGGCUAAACCA